AUGAACGGAAUGUCAAAGGUGGUGAGGUCCGUGAUUGAUUCGAAACGGAGGCGUGAGGAGGAAUUGCCGGAUGGGAGGGGAUUUACGGCGGAGGAUCAUCGGAAAAUGCGGAUCGGAGAAGAAGAGUUUAGCAGCGCCGUGGCUGUGUUGAGAGAUAAAAGAGGGGGAAGAGAAUUUUUUGCUCGUGGAAGUUCAAUCAUCGUAGCAACUCAACCCUAA
This is a non-coding RNA of Vicia faba (fava bean), 219 nucleotides long. NCBI's taxonomy places the organism in Eukaryota, Viridiplantae, Streptophyta, Magnoliopsida, Fabales, Fabaceae. The record is from the annotation of a GenBank genome assembly.